CUCUUCUCUUAAAUGCAAGUAUAUGUCAGGAAGGAUAAACCACUGACAAUUAACACAACUGAACCUAAAUUAGUAACCUANNCAAGAAAACCCUAGUUAAUUCNAAUGUUAAUCUAACACAAGAGCAUUUCAAGAAAGAUUAAAAGAGAAAGAAGGAACUCGGCAAAUAUUAACCCCGCCUGUUUACCAAAAACAUNCGCCUCUUGANCUANGUUAUAAGAGGUAUAGCCUGCCCAGUGACACAUNGUUUAACGGCCGCGGUAUCCUAACCGUGCAAAGGUAGCGUAAUCACUUGUUCUUUAAAUGAGGACUAGUAUGAACGGCACCACGAAGGUUAUACUGUCUCCUUUCUUUAAUCAGUANNAAACUAAUCUCCCCGUGAAGAAGCGAGGAUAAAUUUAUAAGACGAGAAGACCCUAUGGAGCUUUAAACUAACCAGCAUUUGCUUUAUNNNANNUNAAAUUUUUUAGCNAACUNNNNUUAAAGACANUCNUAGCCCUCUGACUNGGUAGUUUUCGAUUGGGGUGAUCACGGAACAAAAAAUAACCUCCGUGUCGAAAGGANNNUANUANCCUGAGCAAAANAGCGACAGCUUUCCGCACUAAAAAANUUAACGUUNCAUUGACCCAAUANUUUUGAUCAACGAACCAAGUUACCNCUAGGGAUAACAGCGCAAUCUACUUCAAGAGNUCCCUAUCGACAAGUAGGUUUACGACCUCGAUGUUGGAUCAGGGUAUCCCAGUGGUGCAGCCGCUACUAAAGNGUUCGUUUGUUCAACGAUUAAAACCCUACGUGAUCUGAGUUCNAGACCGGAGUAAUCCAGGUCGGUUUCUAUCUAUANAAGGANCUUUUUCUAGUACGAAAGGACCGAAAAAGCAUGGCCAAUAAUUUUGUUAAGCCAUNNUAUUUUNNACUUAUGUCUUCAACUCAAUAAGGAAAAAUCCUAACAACNNCAACUCAAGAAACNAGAGGUUAACGUAGCAAAACUUGGCCAUGCAG
Molecule: ribosomal RNA, 999 nt
Filed under: Boana punctata (polka-dot treefrog)
Lineage: Eukaryota; Metazoa; Chordata; Amphibia; Anura; Hylidae
Description: partial large subunit ribosomal RNA
Rfam family: Bacterial large subunit ribosomal RNA
Source: RNAcentral